This is a long non-coding RNA of Hypomesus transpacificus, 1328 nucleotides long. RefSeq lists it as uncharacterized. The transcript has 2 exons. NCBI's taxonomy places the organism in Eukaryota, Metazoa, Chordata, Actinopteri, Osmeriformes, Osmeridae. The record is from RefSeq and is a predicted model, not a curated record.
GGGUCGCACUAGGACGGAGGGACAGGAGGAGGCUGCGGUUUUAGGGUGGGGAAUCUUAAGAGUUGACGUUUAUUUGCCAUCUGGGACAAGUACAGAUAUGUUGAAAUGAUUGGUCUUUCUAAUCUCAACAUUUCCUUGCGGUCUGUCCUCGUCAAAUACAUCUUCAUUCUUCAGCUGAACAUUCUUUGCAGAAAUAUGCAAACCAUAACUUCAAAAUGGUGACAAAUGUUGCUCGUGAAACUGUAUCGUCUCACUUACAAUAUGCCAAGUCCAAGUGACAGGAUUCCCCGAGUCUGCUCGCUGUUUGGUGUCUGACCUGGAGAGCAGCUGCCUCUGGCUUCUGCACACCCUGAAGAGGCCUCUGCUGUGUCCCUUCCAGCUCUGCCCCCACCGGCCCCCCAUCGCUGUGUCCACAGGACCACAUGAGAGAAGGUAAGAGGUGCGUGUGUGUGGUGUGGGUGUGUGGGCAUGUCGAAUACAUGUCUGUGUUUCUGCUUGUGCCAGGAGUCGUUUACCUGGAACUCUUCUUAGACACGGUGUUGGCUCCUGUUUUUUUCUGCGGCUCACGAGGAAGCCAAACAUAUAUCAAGUUCAAAUCAGCAACUAUAUUUAUUUUUUGUUUUGUUUGGAUUUGAAUAUUUGUUAUUGUGGUUACUUUAAAAAACACCUAGAAUUGAUAGGCUAUGAAUAAUUCUGAAUGUGUGUUAUUGACAGUUUUGUCUUAAGUGGUUUAUCAUUAGCGUCAAAUAUGUUUACUAUUCUCAGCUAGGUUUUUAAUCCUACCUUUCUUCCUCUUUUUGACAUGGCUGCUAUUCUGCCUGUUCUCGGUGAGUGGGCAUGUGAGUGUUCUCCCAAUCUUUCACAUCAGAGGCCUUGACAACACAUCGGUGUGUCACAAUGCAUGAGGGGAAGAACAUUCCAGAGCACGUAUUACUUUGUUUUCAAAGAAUACUGAGUCGUCAUCAUCAUCCCCAUCAACAUAGAAAGUACUGUACUACAAUACUACUAUAACUCACAUAUAUGACCUCUGACAUGAAUGUAAAAAUAGUCAGUUAAAACAAAUACAUUCUCUUUUCACCUUUUAUUUCGUUUUUUUUUGUAGCCUUACCAGGGGCAACACAGCAACUCAAAGACCAAACGACAAGUACACAGAGACAAAACAGAAAGUUGAUAAUUAUCAGUCAAGUACGAACAGAAAGACGUCAUUCACCCGCUCAUUCCUACACUCGACCGUCAUUGAGAGAGGACAGUGCAUAUAUUUUUUACAGCUGACAUGAGUGGUGUCACAACGCGUAGAUAAGUACAAAAUCUAAAGAACAGCGUGGAAA